CAUGGCUCCCGGAAAAGCAUCUGCAGAGCUUGCCUGUCAGUCCUCUGGGGGCCCAGCAGAACAGAUCUCAUCUCUUUUCUGUAGUUUUUCUGAGGCCGGAAUAGCUCAGGAGUGUGGUGCUCCAAACCCAGAAUGUCAGAGCUGAAAAGAACCUCAAAGAAGCUUGGGGGCCUUGGGAUCCAGCCCCUUUCUGACUGAGGAUUCCUCCAAUGCCGCCGUGGACAAGCAGCCAUCUUUCAGUGGUGGGGAGCACCCCGAGGCAGCCUGGCCCCUCUGUCCAGCUGAAACUGCUGGUCUGCAGGACCCUGCCCUUGUUCCUGUCCCUCGUUCCACCCUCCAGGGCCACUCACAGCCAAGCUAGCCUUUGGCCCUCCCGUAGUCGUCAGGGGCUUUGCGAAAACCGCGUGCUAAUGGCUGGCUUGUUCACUGGUGAGGUGGCCCCUCUCUUCUGGUGCCAAAAAUCUGAAAGGGACACAUUUUUCUAGUUAAAAAUAGAUUGACUAUUUUUAUAAAAUAGCUGCGUGGCCUUGGGCAAGUCACUUCUUUUCUGUGAGCCUCAGUUUCCUCCUGUGUACGACAAACUGGUUGGACUAGUCCAACCCUGGGAUCAGUCCCAGCCCUGAAUCGGACUGUGGGUGGCACAGUCAGGAGUGGGGUGGGGAGGUGGGGAUGAGGGGAGAG
Molecule: long non-coding RNA, 681 nt
Organism: Vombatus ursinus (common wombat)
Lineage: Eukaryota; Metazoa; Chordata; Mammalia; Diprotodontia; Vombatidae
Exons: 3
Source: RefSeq, a predicted model, not a curated record